GAUGAACGCUAGCUACAGGCUUAACACAUGCAAGUCGAGGGGAAACGACAUCGAAAGCUUGCUUUUGAUGGGCGUCGACCGGCGCACGGGUGAGUAACGCGUAUCCAACCUGCCCAUCACUUGGGAAUAACCUUGCGAAAGUAAGACUAAUACCCAAUGACAUCCCACGAAGACAUCUGAAUGGGAUUAAAGAUUUAUCGGUGAUGGAUGGGGAUGCGUCUGAUUAGCUUGUUGGCGGGGUAACGGCCCACCAAGGCAACGAUCAGUAGGGGUUCUGAGAGGAAGGUCCCCCACAUUGGAACUGAGACACGGGCCAAACUCCUACGGGGGGCAGCAGUGAGGAAUAUUGGUCAAUGGGCGAGAGCCUGAACCAGCCAAGUAGCGUGCAGGAUGACGGCCCUAUGGGUUGUAAACUGCUUUUAUAAGGGAAUAAAGUGGGUCUCGUGAGACUUUUUGCAUGUACCUUAUGAAUAAGGACCGGCUAAUUCCGUG
Molecule: ribosomal RNA, 492 nt
Filed under: uncultured bacterium
Lineage: Bacteria
Description: partial 16S ribosomal RNA
Rfam family: Bacterial small subunit ribosomal RNA
Source: RNAcentral